This 252-nucleotide ribosomal RNA is filed under the name uncultured Bacteroidales bacterium. Its description in RNAcentral is "partial 16S ribosomal RNA". It matches the Rfam family "Bacterial small subunit ribosomal RNA", at positions 524 to 776 of the family's 1533-position model. The record is from RNAcentral. Lineage: Bacteria; Pseudomonadati; Bacteroidota; Bacteroidia; Bacteroidales.
UACGGAGGAUGCGAGCGUUAUCCGGAUUUAUUGGGUUUAAAGGGUGCGUAGGCGGGUUAUCAAGUCAGCGGUAAAAUCGUGGAGCUCAACUCCAUCCAGCCGUUGAAACUGAUGAUCUUGAGUGGGCGAGAAGUAUGCGGAAUGCGUGGUGUAGCGGUGAAAUGCAUAGAUAUCACGCAGAACUCCGAUAGCGAAGGCAGCUUACCAGACUGCGACUGACGCUGAAGCACGAGAGCGUGGGUAGCGAACAGG